UGAGAGGCAACCUCAAACUCUAAGCAGACUC
RNAcentral lists this non-coding RNA (31 nucleotides) under Homo sapiens (human). The record is from RNAcentral. Lineage: Eukaryota; Metazoa; Chordata; Mammalia; Primates; Hominidae.